GAGAUAGAGGUUGCGUGCUUCAAGAGUAACUGUCAGGAUGCGGCGGACGCAGAUGAGUUUCAGUGAAAGGGAAGAACGCCGAAAGAAAGGAGUUCCGUGCUCUUUGUCUUGGGCAUACAGUGAAGAAUUGUAUGACUGUCAUCCGUAUGUUCGGAUGGUGCGCUAUCCG
Molecule: non-coding RNA, 169 nt
Filed under: uncultured Acetatifactor sp.
Lineage: Bacteria; Bacillati; Bacillota; Clostridia; Lachnospirales; Lachnospiraceae
Description: Lysine riboswitch
Rfam family: Lysine riboswitch aptamer
About the family: Riboswitches are metabolite binding domains within certain messenger RNAs that serve as precision sensors for their corresponding targets.
Source: RNAcentral